GAGAAUUCUACGCCAUUAUAUAUCCUUCACUAAAGCAGCUGGAGGGGAAUUUAGUGGAAUUAAUGAAGGAGAAUACUAAAGUAACUCAACUCUCCAACACUUCAAAUGGAAGAGUGGAAGAGAAAAGACAGUCAUGUAAAAGUAUUCGGGGAGAAGAAGAAGAAUGUGGUAUAUGCAUGGAGACUGGCUCCAAGAUAGUAUUGCCUAAUUGUAGCCAUUCCAUGUGUGUUGGCUGUUUCCACGACUGGUACAUCCGGUCUCAAUCAUGCCCUUUUUGUCGAGGUAGUCUAACGAGAGUCAACUCAAGAGACUUGUGGGUUCUAACUAGUGACUGUGAUGUGGUUGAUAGCACCACACUAGAGCAGGAGAAUGUAAGGCGGUUC
Molecule: unclassified non-coding RNA, 383 nt
Filed under: Hevea brasiliensis (rubber tree)
Lineage: Eukaryota; Viridiplantae; Streptophyta; Magnoliopsida; Malpighiales; Euphorbiaceae
Source: RNAcentral